AAAUGCUUCACUCAUAUACACCUCUCAUCACAAAAGACUGACGAAACGUAGCUAUGCCACGGUUGCUGGGCACUGGGAUAAUGUAUACAGUCAACAUUCUGAAAUGCUUCUUAAAAGAGCACUUGAAUCAUAACCUAAAUUUUUAGGAGGGGCAGUGAUUUCUUAUCCACCAUAUCUUGAUCAAACUUCAGAUAGCCUUAACCUAAUAUUUGAAAAGUGAAUAGUUUAAACUCAUUUGUUAAGCUGUUCCUUUGCAGUGGGGUAAUAACCAAACAGUGACAACCAAACAGAGAAUUUUGUAAGCAGAACACCUCUGCCGGCAGCGGCAACCCAGGGUGGCAGCUGUUCUGGAUGAAAGGACAUUGGAAUAUGUAGGGCCAGCUCUGUAGGGUUAGCUCUGGCAGAACACAAUGCUUCAACUCUUCUUAGUAGCAGAAUGCAUCCAAGCCUUCAGUUUGUGAACACGUGCCAUUACGUGGGAAUUUGAACAAAAUGGGACAUUGGAAUCUGCAAACAUACUGGUAUCCACGAGGAGAUUUCAAAGUCUCACAGGAUGCUGCUGUCACAACCACCCCCUAAGGCCUGCGAGGACUCUGGGCACAGCCAUGUGAAAGCCAGCAAUGCUGAAACUCCCAGGCUGUGCCUGGCACGUUGACAAGCUUCAUCCAAGUCAAGGUUUGGGCAUCAGCUGUGCCUGAGGCUCAGAUCAAGUUGGAGUUCACAGUCUCAAAUCCAGUUUCUCUGGGACAGAGAAACAAUUCUGAACCUGGUCUCGUCGAAAGGCAUCCAGGCCUUCCUUUUCUGUUGGGCAAUAAAAAUUUGCCGCUAACAUAUCCAUAUACUGCCAAUCACCAGAGCACAUGCUUCUUCUAGUGGCAAGAAGACUGCCCGGGCAUCAGGAGGCCCGGACCCUGGGCAGCUCCACCUCCCUGGGCCUCUUUCCUCAUUCGUGAAAGUUGGACUUGUACACAACAGCCUCAAAGGUAAACUCUAAUUUUAAAAUUUCACAAUUUUGUCUCUAAUCCCAAAGGACUCACAUGAUUGAACAAAUAAUAUGUGAUUUUUUUUAGCAUAUUUUCAAGUAAUCAUUUCAGAAAUCAGAAAGAACAAAAUUAUUCCUAUUAUCACUUUGUGAUCUAAUUUAGAUUAUGAGCAUCUUAUGAUAAAUUAUCUAAGUGACUAUUAACACUGAAUAAAAAUUCUAAUAAUAGUAAUACAAUGAUGCAAUAUUGUUCAAUACCCAUAAUAAUCAAAUAAACAUCUGUUUGGCAAGCUAUCAGUGGAUGUGAAUUGGGAGUGGAGUGAGAAGGGAGGGCAUAAUUACUCAGGUUAGGGCCAAUUCUUUGUUUCAAUUGUUCUUAUAAUUUCAGUGGAGGUUUUGCAAUAUUCCUGCCCAGAGCUGCUGUGUCAUUUUCUCAGAUAUUGUCAAAAUGGCUGCCUUGCUCCAUCCCAGAAGAAAAAAUGUUUCACCUAAGUUCAAAACAUCCAUUUUUAUCUACAAAGUUUAUGGUAACAUUUGCUAUUAUUAUUAGUAUCGUUGAAAAUUAAUGGUGCAAUAUUCAAUAUUUUCAGUGGUGGAAGCUAUAGAACUUUUACCUUUUUCCCGAGGGAGGAACACAAUAUGGCCCUGAUUACCUGCCCAUUGUGUGGGACAGCCAGGGCUUUCAGUGAAUGGACUUUCCGCUGACAAGCUCUUAAAAGGUUGUAUGCUGGGCCCUCAGCCCUUGAGCAUGGUGAACAUUUGCCAUGGAUAGCAGCCUUGAAAACCCUAUGUCCCAUAACAAAAGGGUAUUUUCCCCUUUUACAGGUGUCAGCCUGGUACCACAGACAAGUUCCUUUCAGAGCACAGCGUACAUAAAGCCUGUAAUUAUCAGCUGCAGGUAGUGGCCACCUGCUCAUGGAACACACAGAAAUGGAAAAAAUGUGGAAGAAUCUGCAGCAAGAAUUUUCCUUUUGAAUCGGGCCUGAGAGGCCCUGCCUCUGAGGGUUUUAGAAUAGAUAUGACUUUCAAUCAGCCACCUUUUGCUUACUGAACUGGCAAUUUCAGAGUCAAAAGGUAAUCAUAAACAGACAGUUAUGGCUUCUAGAACUUUCCUCACAUAUUCAGCCAGGGCACAGCUCCAUCACAUUUCACGCUACCAUAUUUUCUGGGCUAACCGCAUGCCACUUUCAGAGCUAUGACACGUUUGUUUGGUAUUCAGGUUGGUGUUUGAUUACAUAGUAGAUGCUGUUGUGUGUGGCCCAGAUCCCCUUGGAGGACCAAGGUAGUUAUUCUCUCAGCUGCCGGGAGUGUUGCCUGCCGGAGAUCUAUAGCUGAGCCCCUCCCAGGAAUUGCCUUCAGCCUAAGGGAGCUGCCUCGCACAGGUUGCACCCCCUGCCUGUGGUAGCCCAUAUCAGUGAUUGGUCUUCACAGGGAUAGAAGGCCCGCCCCCUUAUCUCAAUUCUAGAAAGCUCUGAAGAGUCACUCCAGGUUCAGAGCUCCCCUGGGGAUCAGCUGAAGUCUCUCUUUUGACUGAACGAAAUUUGACUUUUCCUUUUGCCGCACCUUGCCUCCCUCACUCCCUUAAAGAUUUUGUCAGGGCAUUCUCCAAAUGAACUACCUGUAUGCAACCUAAAAUAGAUUUAGAAGAAAUUUUAUGUUUAAAAUCUUUUUUAAGAGAAAAACAUAAAAAAAUCAGAUGACUGAUCAGACAUUUCAAUGACUAUCUCACAUUUAGGCUCCUGGAAUGAAAGGACCCAGCUAUCCAUUGCCAGCUCCCAUGUGAUCCUAGUCUGGGAUAAUUUGGGACUUGCUGAAUCCACUGAACUUUGUCUACAACUCUUAGGACUGGGCAAAGCUGAAAGUCAGCUUUCUACCCACAUCGUUCCUGUUGUCUCUAGUCCCUUCAAGAUCUCUAAAAUAAGUCUUAAAAUACUAUUUGGAUGAAAUUCCUUCUGCUUCAAGAGGAUAUGGCAGACACUAAGCUGCCAUUUAUCCUGCUCCCUGGAUGCCGGGGAGAUGGAUCUGCACAUAGAGAAGGCCUGAAGUCAUGUCUAAUCCAUUCUGACCUCAGGGUCGGGGCGGGAGUGUCAACUCUUGCUUGUCUCCAAGCCAAAGAAACUGAGCAGGCCAGUCACUUCUACAGAUGGCCCUGGGGAUUUAUCCUUCCCUAGGAGGCGCUCAAUACUACUUGGAAGGUAAUCAAUUAAAGCUAGCAAAGCUCUCAGAUUCCCUGAGAACUGAUCCUAGUUUCCUCAAGUCACGUGUACCGGCGCUAUGUGAGACCGGGCUAGGGCAGGUAGUGCAUUCUCCAAGACCAGGGUCAGGAACGUGAAUGAGGGCACAGGUGCUUACUUGGCUGCCCUCUAUUUUAUGCUAUUAAGUAGAGAUUGAGUUGAUGUGCACUCAACUGUGCCCCAAAAGGUUCUGUUCUCUUUUUAGGACUCAACAAAUCACACUGAAAGUUCCUGUUCCUCGCAGAGUUAAAGGGAUUCCGAGUGGCAGUCUUUCCCUGCCACUGUCAAACAUUUAUUGAGUUCUAGCUGUAUGAGAGAGAAAGCCCCCGACCCCUACAAGUGUAGUGCAAGAAACAGGACACAUAUAGUUGUAUCAGUACUUUCCGCCACCCAUUGAUUGUUUUCAGACCAUUGCCGAAAUUGCCCAUAAUGCUGCACGUUUUGGAAUACCAGAUUUAUGGGUGAUACUCAUUGACCCAAGCAUUCUUCUGGAACAGGUUCUUUGUCUUUGUGUUCUCCCUCAAAACUAUUUUAUUCAUUUAUUAUUUUUUAUUAUUGUUCACUGACUAUUGUGGCAAAACACCCUCUUCUGCCUAUCAGGAAAACUUCUUGCAUUUUUUUUUUAAAAACCAUUCAUCUAUUUUUAAAAUUGGUGAUACAUUCAUAUGAUCCAAACAUCAAAAAUUAUAAAAGAUACAUAAUGAAAUCUCUGCCUGCCCCUAUUCCUCAUCUGCCCAGUAAAAAUCUUCAUUUCACCCUCGAACUCCCAAAACUGGGUAGUUUUUCCUAUCCUUUUUACAUGGUAGCAUAAUAUAUACACUUCUUUGAACUUUGCCUUUUUCAUCUAAUAAUAUGACUUGGAGAUCUUUUUUUAGUUACUUGACAUCCAAUAAGAAUUAUUCUUCAUCAAGAAUAAGAAUAUUUACUAGGAGCCUUUAGGAAUUGCUGGGAACUUGCAAAGAUGGUAUAAUAUGGAAAAGUUGAGAAGUUUCUUGGGGUUGGGCUUGAUGUAGAUGGAGCUAGGCAUCUUACCUUUCUCAGAAGAGAUUUAAUGACUGGUAGAAAUACUGAAGAGGAAGAAAAAAGGAUAAGAGCAAAUCUGCCAAGGCCAUAGCAUGGGAAAAAAGGAAAAAUAAGGGCCGAGAGCCAACUGUGCCAAUGUCUAGAGUGGAAGCCACACAGCCUGAGUUAAGAGCAAGACAGUUGACCAGGGCAUAGGUGGCCGGUAGGGCAAGGGUAAGGUUAUGGCCUCUGAGCAGCCCUAGAUCAACACCAGAUAGAAAGGAAGACAGGAAUGUCCAGAUGGCCCCAGUCACAGGAGGGAAUGCUGGAUCUCUAUUCAGAGAGAGAGGGAUCAAAGCACAGGCUUUGAAGUCAGUGUUGCAUUCAAACCCCAUGUGAGUCAAGCACUUUAGGUAAGUUACUUCAUUUCCCUAAGUUUUCUUAUCUGUGAAAUAAGGAUAAUAAUAACAACCACUUAUAGGGCGGUCCUAGAGAUCAAAUGACGUAACCUAUAAAAAGUGCUCAGCAUAGUGUCUGGCACAUCUCAGUGGAUCAGUACAUUUGCAGUUGCAUUAUAACUAUUAAGGUUAAUAGGGGAAAUUUCCUAGAGGCCAGAGAGAGGGAGACACCAGCCACGAGGUGAGAAAAGUUUCUGCCUCAGAUGGAGUCGUGACCUCAGGGCCUCGGGUGAGGAGGGCUUCUUCUCCCUUCUUCUCCGAGGACUAGGAACCAGGAGGCUCCAAGAGGUGAUGGAGUGAGCACAGCCUGAGGGUCAAGCAGGAACGACCUUACUUGCCACAUGAGGUGAAGGUCACUAGCAAGAAGUGACUAGUUCUUCCUGGGACUGGAGAGGUAGACAAUGACUUUAAAAAUGGUACGCCUGGAAGAGGAAUGAUUUUUGCUUACAGCAGAUUACCUAAAGUUGUUUGGAGAAUUGAAUUAAGUACAAUAACUGCAAAUGCUGAUGCAAUAGGAAAAAAACAUUAUUGUUAACACACACACCCACCCGCCGUCUUUGAAAGGCAUGUGUCAGCACUGCCUGGUGGUCUUAUGGUUAGGAUUUGGCACUGUCUCAUGAAAAGCUUGUGCCUAAUGUGGGCUCUGAUAGGCGUGGGCAUGGAAGUCUGGAGAAAGAAGCUGGGGAAGGGAUGAACUGUUCUGCGUAAUCUAAGGAGGAUGCUUGUGAGGCUGAAGCACAGCGGGGAAGAAAGGACCUCAGGGAACAAACGUGUCUGAUGAGGACUGAGAAGUGGUCCACCCUUCCUGAUAUCCCUACAAAAUCUCCAGUGAAAUCCACCUAAUCCUGUGGUGUGAACGAAUCCUUUCUGGGGGAAGGUAAGAGGUGCCGAGCUCUGUGUUAAUAUUGGUGAAAGGUGAAAACAGAGACUGCAUCUGGGGAAAGCUGCCAUCAAAUUCCCUGCCAUUCUUUAUCCUGUGACCAUCCGUCCAUCCCUUCAAUCAGGCCACCGCGGGGCUUGCUUCUUUGACUGCAGAUGCAUCAGGCAGAAGGUUGAGGAGAAGAAAUGCUCCUGAGGCUAUUCAUUCAAGCAACAAAUAUUAAUUUAACACUUAUCACGUGCUGGCUGCUGUGCCACGAACCAAGGACACAAUGAUAACAGAGAUAUGGUCUUUGUUAUCAAGACACUCUCAGUCUAACGAGGAAGAAGGAUGAGAAACAGCGUGACAAGUGAUGUGAUGGGAUCAUGCAGAAGGAGCUAUGGGAAAACAUAAGGAUGGUGCCAGGAAAGACCCUAAAACAAAGAGAAAACCCAGCGCUGAUGAGAAAAUCAUAAAUGAGUAAAACGUUACCCUGGAAAACAUUAGUAUUGCCUUUUGAGGUGACCAUCCAAAAUGAAGCAAUUAGACACAACCCUUCAGAGAAAAGGCGGAAGUAUCUGAUUACUAUUCUUUUGUUUUCCUGUUUUCUUCUUUUUUCCCCCACCCAUCUCAUUUCAUGGUUUCUGUAUUUUGUUUCCACAGGAAAUUGCCCCAGAAAGAAAUGAUGAAAAGUACUAGAGAACUGGUGGAUUUUCAAAAGCAGGUUGAAAGGAAAGAGGUGGUUAAUUAACAAGCAAAGAAUAGAUUCUUGAGAUGACAGUUUACUUCUAUCCAAGCACAAUGAAGCAGGUAGCCAAACGGACUUCAUAAUGAGCUUGCUUCUUUACUAUUAUUUUAAAUAAUAGAAUUUGCAUAAGCCCAGAGAUAAGGAUUUCAGAACAAAGAAAUGUAUGUAUUUUGGAUGUAUUAUUUAUUCUUUUUUCAAUUAUUUUAUUGAGGUCAUAAUGGUUUAUAACGUUGUAUCAUUUCAGGUGUACAUUAUUAUUUAUCAAUUUCUGUAUAGACUGCAUCGUGCUCACCACUAAUAGUCUAAUUUUUCUCCGUCAUCAUAUAUAUGUGCCCCUUUAUCCCUUUCACCCAUUCCCCCAAUCCCCUUCCCCUCUGGUAACUACUAAUCUAUUCUCUUUAUCUUUGCAUUUGUUUAUCUUCCACAUAUAAGUGAAAUCAUAUGGUGUUUGUCUUUCUCUGUCUGGCUGAUUUCACUUAACGUAAUACCCUCAAGUUCCAUCCAUGUUGUUCAAAUGGGAUGAUUUUGACAUUUUUGUGCUUGAGUAGUAUUCCAUUGUAUACAUAUAUCACAUCUUCUUUAUCCCUUCAUCAGUCAUUGGGCACUUGGGUUGCUUCCGCGUCUUGGCUAUUGUGAAUAAUGCUGCAAUGAACAUAAGGGUGCAUAGAUCUCUUUGAAUUGUUGAUUUCAAGUUCUUUGGAUAAAUACCCAGUAGUGGAAUAGCUGAGUCAUGUGGUAUUUCAAUUUUUAAUUUUUUUUUUUAAAGAUUUUAUUUUUUCCUUUUUCUCCCCAAAGCCCCUGGGUACAUAGUUGUGUAUUCUUCGUUGUGGGUUCUUCUAGUUGUGGCAUGUGGGACGCUGCCUCAGCGUGGUCUGAUGAGCAGUGCCAUGUCCGCGCCCAGGAUUCGAACUAACGAAACACUGGGCCGCCUGCUGCGGAGCGCGCGAACUUAACCGCUCGGCCACGGGGCCAGCCCCUCAAUUUUUAAUUUUUUGAGAAAUCUCCAUAGUGUUUUCCACAGCGGCUGCACCAGUUUGCACUCCCACCAGCAGCAUAUGAGGGUUCCCUUUUCUCCACAUCCUCUCUGACAUUUGUUAUUUUUUAUCUUGUUAAUUAUAGCCAUUCUGACAGGUGUAAGGUGAUAUCUCAUUUUGGUUUUAAUUUUGCAUUUCCCUAAUCAUUAGCAAUGCUGAGCAUCCCUUCAUAUCCCCGUUGGCCAUCUGUAUUGGAUGCAUUAUUUUAUAUAGAGUACUAUUAUCAGUAAGAAAAGGGAGACGAAGUGACUAAAUUAAUGAGACAUUUGAUAAUUACCAUAACAAAAUUUAUAUAUUUCAGAUGAGCAGUGAUCUUUGACAUACAGGUUUGAGAAGAUAUAUAUUUAUUUCAGCAUUUCUGAAACUGAUCAAAACAUUUUUGAGAUUUUCUUUAGAGUCAGUUGCAGUUUAAACCAAAAACCAGCAACGUGCUUAUACACUACUUAGAAGUGGUGGUGCAGUGGGAAGAGUCAGAAAGACUAAGUUCCAGUCCUGGCUCUGCCAUUUAUUAACUGUGUAACCUUGGAAAAGUUUAGCCUCUCUGUGUUACAAUACCCUCAUCUCUAAAACGGGAAUAAUAAUGUCAAAAUAUUCAAAAUUUCUAGGAGUAAUGAGAUGAUGCAAGUAUCUAGCAUUGUGAUUGGCACAUAGUAGCUGCUCAAUAAAUCUUCCCUCUCCUCCCUACUUAUGGUCAAGUUUUAUUUUUUUUAAGGAUUGGCACCUGAGCUAACAUCUGUUGCCAAUCUUCUUUUUUUUUUUUUCUUUUCUUCUUCUUCUCCCCAAAACCCCCUAGUAUGUAGUUGUAUAUUCUAGCUGUAGGUCCUUCCAGUUCUGCUAUGUGGGACACCGCCCCAGCAUGGCUUGAUGAGUGGUGCCAUAUCCAUGCCCAGGAUCUGAACCAGUGAAACCCAGGGCCGCUGAAGUAGAGCAUGCAAACUUAACCACUCGGCCACAGGGCCGGCCCCUGUCAAGUUUUAUUUUGACCAAAAAUAUUUUCAGACAAUUUAUUAUUCUUAAAUAUUAAAGCUUUUCCCUCAUUGAGGAUCUGUAAAGAAUAUGCUAUCAAUUCAAUUUCUAGGAAUUUAUUUCUAGAAAUACUCAAACCAAUGUGCAAUGAAUAUUUAUAAGAAUAUUAAUUACAGCAUUGUUCAUAAGACAGAAAGAAUUAGAAAAACAGCCCAGUGUUCAUCAGUAGACGAUUGCUUAAAUAAAUCAGUGAAUGGUUAUGCAGUCUUUAAUCGAAUGUUAUGUCUAUACUAACAUGGGAUGAUAUCUCAAAGACCUAUUUCUCAAGCAUGUUGUUGAAUAUUAUGCAUAAUAUGUUCCCAUUCCUGUUAAAAAUGGUAUGUGUAAACAUAUACAUUUAAAAAACCCUGGAAGGGCCAGCCCUGGUGGCCUAGUGGUUAAUUUCAGUGCACUGGGUUUCAGCGGCCUGGGUUCGGUUCCUGUAUAUGCACCUACACCACUCAUCUGUCAGUAGACAUGCUGUGGUGGCGACUCACGUACAAAAAGAGGAAGAUUGGCAGUGGAUGUUAGCCUAGGGCAAAUGUUCCUUAGCAAAAGAAAACGCUGGGAGUAUAAGCCCUAAACUGUCAACAGUAUUUAGUGUGGGGGAUGAUGGUGGAAGACUUUCAUUUUUUAAAUUGUAUGUUUGUGUAAUAUUCAACUGUUUGCCAUAAGUAUGUACAUGUAUUACUUUUGUAAUUAGAAAACAAGGGAAAAAGAGGGAGGGAAAUAAUACCUCCAGAUUCUGAAGAAAAUGCCAGUAAAAGGGAAUUAUAAAUGUUUUAAGCAAUGGCUAUAUUCAGAAGUAGUUACUCGGCACUGGGAAUCUAAUGCUCAUCUGGAGAGCUUAUGGAUCCUGGCAUACUGCGAAAGAAUAAGGCCCCCCAGUUUAGAGCCAUAUCUAAUGUUAUGACUACUACACACACUCUAGUUUCAUACCGAAACUACAUAUAUAAUAUGUAUAUAUUAUAUAUAGAGUACAGUUAUGCUUUCUGUGUCAGUGCUGUAUGAUUUAGGGGUCCUUGGGAAGGCCUCCCUGCCAAUAGCUCCCUUAGUAGCUUGUUAGGAUAUCAGAAAGCCCAUCGUUAGGGAGUUUAAUUUCUCCAGAUUAAGGGAUUAUCUGACCUUAAAAUUCUGCACUGAGGCCCCCUCUUAUGUGCUCCUACAGCAUGCUGUGUACCUCUGUCAGAGGGUUUAUAUGGAUUAUAAUUGUCUAUUUUCUGUUUUCCCAAGACUCAGCUCCUUCUAGAAGGAACUAUGUCUCGAUAGCUCUGUUCCCCCAUGCUUUCCACAAGGCCAGGCGCAAAGAAGGCUCUCAGGAUGCUCAUCAAUGGAACGAAUGGUCCUAAAGACGUCACAUAAAGACUGAACCUGUUGUUUCUACUCCAACUAUUGUGACGUUGCAUUGAGGAAGUCUAUGUGGUGUUUUGUAAACUAUGAACCACUGUACAAAUGCACAUUAUUUCUAUUGGAAUGCAAAUUUUUUUCUCAGAUAAUUUCCAAGGUGUGUAUUUUGAUGAGUGGAGGAUUGAUAUCGCGUCUUCUCUACCUGACAAUGGUAAAAAUUUCUGAUCCGACCUCUACCUGCUUGCAUCCCAAAGAGUUCAACUUCUCACAGCAAGAAGGAGCCCUGGGGACAGAAAUUAACAAGGAAAUGUCCCCCUUCUGUAAAAACAGGCAUGAGUGAAUGUUGGGCCAGGAUUACAUGGGAGCAAGGUGCAGGAAAACACAUAGAGCCUGUCCUGACAGCUUCAAACAGCACUUUUCAUCCAUCCCAGGCUUUGGCCAAUGACACUUCUUUAUAUGAGAUGGAGUCUUUGGCUCAGGGCUUUUGUUCUUGUGAAAGGCAUGGCUUUGCUCUCUAGGUUGCAAAGAAAAUGUUUUAAUACUGGAAUUUUUGUCAUUAGUUUCCCAGGAAACCAUUUUGGUUCUGAUGCUAAUUUGUGUACCUGACUGUUUUAAUUGAACAUGGGGCCUAGGGGAGGAGAAGCAGAGGGAAAGACUGCUUUGGGAUACUGCCCACGAAGAGGGUGCCAGGCUGGCAGUGCCAAGUCGACUCCAGCUCCACCCUCCACUAGGUGACAGUUGGCACCAGCCUUCUCAAUUGAGGUCACCAAAGUGUGAGGCCAGGAGAUGGAGACUCAUUUCUUUUCUUAGUUCUGACCCCAAGAGAGUAGGGGCUGGGCCCAGCAAACACUCACUGUGGUCUGAGUUAGAGGGAGCCAGCCGACAGGCCUGAGCAAGACAAACAGCUCAUGUCUUGGAAGUGUUCUAAGUUUCCUGCUUAAGACAUUUUUGUAUCUCCUCCCUCAGAAGGAAUGAUGUCCCCAGAGGGUGUGGAUACCUGGAGCUUGCCUCUGCCAAGGCAUCUACAAAUGAACCGUGUUUACAUUUCUGUGGCUUUUUCUUUUAGUGACUAGAGCCUCCGUGACGAUGGCAUUGGAGGGUGUGGCUUUGCACACCAAAGAAUGCAGCACUCUCACCACGCCUUCAGUGUGCCCUAAAGAGGGAACAGAGUACCUGCGCACUUCAGCUCCAACCGCCUGGUGGAGAAGGAGGCUUGUUAGCUGCUGACAGUCCUGAGCCUCCUCACUGGCCGCACAUGGCUCGCACGCAGGACCCUCACGGUCAGACCUGGCCUCACAGCCCUGCACAGUGCACGAGGAGACCAAAGCUAACAAGGUCUUGGUAAAAACCAUUCCAGUGCCAUGUGGCCACCAAGAAUGAACCCUGGACUAGAAUGCAGCUUCCUUCAUGUGCAAAGUUUCUCCCAUAGAGCUGGAGAGCAUCCUCUCUAUUCUAGAACCGUGCUGUCCAAUGUGGUAACCACUAACCCUGUGUGCCUGUCGAGUGCUGGAAAUGUGGCUGGUCUGGUUUGUGACAUGCUGUUAAGUGUAAAAUACACACUGGAAUUUGGAAGACUUGAUAUGAGAAAAGAAUGUAAAAUAUCUCAAUAGGUUUUACAUGGAUUACACAUUGACAUGAUAAAAUUUUGGACAGAUUGAGUAAAUAAAAAUGUAUCAGAAUUAA
RNAcentral lists this long non-coding RNA (11352 nucleotides) under Equus caballus (horse). RNAcentral describes it as "lncRNA (ENSECAG00000035040.3)". The record is from RNAcentral. Lineage: Eukaryota; Metazoa; Chordata; Mammalia; Perissodactyla; Equidae.